ACGAACGCUGGCGGCGUGCUUAACACCUGCAAGUCGAACGGAAAGGCCCCUUUGGGGGUACUCGAGUGGCGAACGGGUGAGUAACACGUGAGUAACCUGCCCUUGACUUCGGGAUAACUUCAGGAAACUGGGGCUAAUACCGGAUAGGAAUCCUUGCUGCAUGGUGGGGGUUGGAAAGCUUCGGCGGUUUUGGAUGGACUCGCGGCUUAUCAGCUUGUUGGUGGGGUAGUGGCUUACCAAGGCUUUGACGGGUAGCCGGCCUGAGAGGGCGACCGGCCACAUUGGGACUGAGAUACGGCCCAGACUCCUACGGGAGGCAGCAGUGGGGAAUAUUGCACAAUGGGCGGAAGCCUGAUGCAGCAACGCCGCGUGCGGGAUGACGGCCUUCGGGUUGUAAACCGCUUUCAGCAGGGGCGAAGCUUGUGGUGACGGUACCUGCAGAAGAAGCACCGGCUAACUACGUG
This 464-nucleotide ribosomal RNA is filed under the name uncultured bacterium. RNAcentral describes it as "partial 16S ribosomal RNA". It matches the Rfam family "Bacterial small subunit ribosomal RNA", at positions 29 to 507 of the family's 1533-position model. The record is from RNAcentral.